This 399-nucleotide ribosomal RNA is filed under the name uncultured bacterium. Its description in RNAcentral is "bacterial SSU rRNA". It matches the Rfam family "Bacterial small subunit ribosomal RNA", at positions 29 to 412 of the family's 1533-position model. The record is from RNAcentral.
AACGAACGCUGGCGGCGUGGAUAAGACAUGCAAGUCGAGCGCUGAUUUUCCCUGUAGCAAUAUGGGAGAGUUGGAGCGGCGCAAGGGUGCGUAACACGUGGAUCAUCUGCCUGGAAGUUCGGAAUAAUCCCGCGAAAGCGGGACUAAUGCCGGAUGUGUCCCGAUGCAAAUCGGGGUAAAGCUGGGGACCCGCAAGGGCCUGGCGCUUCCAGAUGAGUCCGCGGCCUAUCAGCUAGUUGGCGGGGUAACGGCCACCAAGGCUAAGACGGGUAGCUGGUCUGAGAGGACGACCAGCCACACUGGAACUGAGACACGGUCCAGACACCUACGGGUGGCAGCAGUCGAGAAUUUUUCUCAAUGGGCGAAAGCCUGAAGGAGCGACGCCGCGUGGGGGAUGAA